UUAUGAUUUAAAAAAUUUAUUUUAAGUUUAAUUUACAUAUAAAUUUUAGUGUUAAUUUUAUAUUUAAAAAAUAUAAUUUUUAUUGUAGUAAUUAAAAUUAAAAAUUUAAGUAAUUAAGAUUUAGUAAUACAAAAUAUUAAAUAACAAAUUUUGUGCCAGCAGUUGCGGUUAUACAAAAAUUUAAAUAAAUUUUAUUAGUAAAAAUAAAUAUAUUUAUUAAUUAAAUUAAAUUUAAAAUUAUUAGGUGAAAUUUUAAUUUAAGUAAAAUUUAAAUUUAAAUUAUGAAUUUAAAAAUUUUAAAAUAAACUAGGAUUAGAUACCCUAUUAUAAAAAAUUAAAAUAUAUUACUAAAAUAGUAAAUAAUUAUUUAUUGAAACUUAAAUAAUUUGGCGGUAUUUUAGUUCAUUUAGAGGAAUCUGUCUAGUAAUUGAUAGUCCACGAAUAAUUAUAUUUAAUUUAAAAUUUUAUAUAUCGUUGUUAAAAAAAUAUUUUUUAAUAAAAAUAAUAUUUUAAAAUUUAAAAUAAAAAUAAAUUCAGAUCAAGAUGUAGAUAAUAAUUAAAAUAAGAUGGAUUACAUUAUAAUAAUAUAAAUGAAUAAUAAUUUGAAAUAAUUAUUUGAAGGUGGAUUUAAAUGUAAUUUUAUUUAAUUUAAUAAAAUGAUUAAAAAUUAACAUAUGUACAUAUUGCCCGUCACUUUCAUUUUAAAAUUGAAAUAAGUCGUAACAAAGUAGAGGUACUGGAAAGUGUUUCUAGAAAGAA
This 759-nucleotide non-coding RNA is filed under the name Pareronia hippia. The record is from RNAcentral. Lineage: Eukaryota; Metazoa; Arthropoda; Insecta; Lepidoptera; Pieridae.